GACGAAGGAUGCAAGCGUUAUCCGGAUUCAUUGGGUUUAAAGGGUGCGUAGGCGGCCCUGUAAGUCAGUGGUGAAAGCUCUCCGCUUAACGGAGAAACUGCCAUUGAUACUGCAAGGCUUGAGUACAGAUGAUGUUGGCGGAAUAUGACAUGUAGCGGUGAAAUGCAUAGAUAUGUCAUAGAACACCGAUUGCGAAGGCAGCUGACAAAACUGUAACUGACGCUGAGGCACGAAAGUGUGGGGAUCAAACAGG
RNAcentral lists this ribosomal RNA (253 nucleotides) under uncultured bacterium. Its description in RNAcentral is "partial 16S ribosomal RNA". It matches the Rfam family "Bacterial small subunit ribosomal RNA", at positions 524 to 776 of the family's 1533-position model. The record is from RNAcentral.